This is a long non-coding RNA of Pyrus x bretschneideri (Chinese white pear), 1553 nucleotides long. RefSeq lists it as uncharacterized. NCBI's taxonomy places the organism in Eukaryota, Viridiplantae, Streptophyta, Magnoliopsida, Rosales, Rosaceae. The record is from RefSeq and is a predicted model, not a curated record. The transcript has 5 exons.
CCCUGCUUGAUUUGUAUAAUUUCGAUUUUGCCUCUUCUCGACUCUUCUUCAUUUUUGUCUCUCUGGGAAGGGAAAGAUCUGGAUGUACUCUUCUUUUCUCCUCUCUCUCUCCGUCUGUGUUUGCGCAUGGCUAUUGGGUUUUCUUGGACGACAGCAGAUACCUGUAGCGAAAGAAAUCUCACCCUGCGGCACCGCCUCUCACGGAACCACCGCCGCCACCAUCUUUCGGCUCGAAUUUUGUGGGUUCUGAAGAGCCGCAGCGACAUGCAAAUAUGUGCCUGAUCUUCCACUGGAGCAUCCAAAUUUUCAGUUGUGUAUCAAAUGACAGCAACCUUUACCAAUUCAAAAUUUGAAGCCAAGAUACCACCGACCAUAUACUUGCAUCCCAAAUAUUGUUAAAAACGAAGAAACAAUAGAGUGCUAUGUGGAAACAGCAAUGCAAGGGCAGGAUCUGAUCGGUAGCACUCAAACAGGGGAUCUUAAGGCUGUGCAAAAUGGUGAACAAAAAUGCACACGAGUCGGAAUUGUGAAACCAAGUCAACUCUCACUUAGAAGUGUAAGUACUAGGAGGUCAUCCUUGAGCGACCUGGCACGAGGAAUUUAACCAACAUGGUUGGAUUUCUGAACUUCAUUAUAUUUUCAUGUAUUUUUCAUAUAUAGAUGCGUCUAUCUGGGGAUCGAAACAUGUCCUUUUUCUGAAUUUUUCAGGGCAUGAAAAUUCAAGCUCGGGCGGUACCCCCAUUUCAUUGCAAAUGAGAGCAUUCGACGAUGGAGCAGCGUGAUCGAGUUUGGUGAAAAAGUAUGCAAACGGUGGAAUUUUUUAGCGAUUCUAGUUGGAGAUGAAAAAUACCCAAGGAAGCCACUGGAUGAGAGAUAAAGAUAAGCAAGGAACGAAACUAAUCUACCAAUUUCAGUAGGAAGAGGUCCAUUAAGCAUGUUGCUUGAAAGAUCUAGGCCUGUUAAGCUUGUGCAGUUUGCUGCACCCUGGGGAAACUGGCCCUUGAGCCCCAAAUCCAAAAGCUUGAUAUUUAACUUUGCUUUCGUGAGGGUGCCAACACUCGAUUCCAAUAAAGUUAGAGAGGAAGAGAAAAGAUGUACGCCAUGUGACUUUGCCAGGAAAGUGGGGAUUCCACUUAUUUUGGCUUAGCAUAAAAAAAAAAAGAGAAAAGAUGCAGGGAGUGGCAGAAAAGAGGAGAACAUGGGGUGCCCACUAUGAAGUGGAGUUUGGUUGGUCUUCCACUUGUAGCUUUGGGUGGUUUUGGCAAUUAUUGCCUUUUGUUGAAGGCAAUACACGCAAAGAGAUAGAGGGGAAGACAGAGAGGAGGACGGACAGAAUGGAGCAGCAGAGGAGUAGAGAAUUGCAGAGAGCAACAUAGCAGAAAAGGAGGAGAAGAUCGGAGAGCUUGUCUUGUAAAAAAGGGUUGUUUUCUUUCUUUGAUUCUUAAUGGAUAAUCCCUUAUGUAUUUAGAUAAGUAUGUAUAACUAAUUUCUUUUGCUAGAGUGAGACCGUGAACCUCAACACGAUUACGUAAAUUUCUCUUUUAAUUGCUUAA